AUGUGUGGUGCGUUGGUGCCAAGCCGUCAGGCUGGCCAUGCCUCUGGCCGGCCCUGCAAUGGGAGAUGGACCAAGAACUUUAUUCCUUGCAUCAAGCGGGGAGAGGAGCUCAUUACUGAACAAGCUAGGAAAGAAGAAGUGUUCUCGGAGGCCUUUGAAAACUUGCUGGGCAAAGCGGGAACAAGAAGAGGUUCGCUAGACCUUAACUUUCUCCAAAUCCCAAGUCACAACUUGCAAGAGCUUGAACAUUUAUUCAUGGAAGAGGAAGUAUGGAAGGUCAUAAAGGAGAUCCCGGCUGACAGAGCCCCGGGACCGAACGGGUUUAUCGGAGCUUUCUACCAUGUGGCGUGGCCAAUCAUUAAGGGAGACAUAAUGGCUGCACUCAUGAAAUUGUAUGUGGGAGACGGCAGAGGAUUUGACAAGCUAAAUGGAGCGCAUAUCACCUUAAUUCCCAAGAAGCCGGAUGCCAUAGAGGUGGGAGAUUAUCGGCCAAUCAGCCUCCCACACAGCUUUGCAAAGAUCUUCGCCAAGCUGCUUGCCUUGAGAGCGCGCCCUCGCAUGUCAGUGAUCAUCGAGAUCAACCAAUCGGCGUUUAUCAAAGGGAGAAACACACAUGAAAAUUUCUUGCUCGUCAGACAAGUGGCUCGGAAGCUGCGUGCCAGAAAGAGGAGAAGGGGCUUUUCCUUAAGCUAG
RNAcentral lists this ribosomal RNA (693 nucleotides) under Triticum aestivum (bread wheat). RNAcentral describes it as "partial small subunit ribosomal RNA". Lineage: Eukaryota; Viridiplantae; Streptophyta; Magnoliopsida; Poales; Poaceae. The record is from RNAcentral.